GAUGAACGCUGACAGAAUGCUUAACACAUGCAAGUCGAUGGGGAAGUGGUGCUUGCACCAUGGCAACCAUGGCGGACGGGUGAGUAACGCGUAAGGGACUUACCUGCAGGACUGGGAUAACAGGGGGAAACUCCUGACAAGACCGGAUAAUGUCAUGGAGCUGCAUGGCUUUAUGAUGAAAGGAGACGCCUGCGGAGAGCCUUGCGUCCUAUUAGCUAGUUGGUGAGGUAAUGGCUCACCAAGGCGAAGAUAGGUAGCCGGCCUGAGAGGGGGGACGGCCACAAGGGGACUGAGAUACGGCCCUUACUCCUACGGGAGGCAGCAGUGGGGAAUAUUGGACAAUGGGGGCAACGCUGAUCCAGCAAUUCUGUGUGCACGAAGAAGGUUUUCGGAUUGUAAAGUGCUUUCAGCAAGGAAGAAGUAAGUGACGGUACCUGCAGAAGAAGCGACGGCUAAAUACGUG
RNAcentral lists this ribosomal RNA (463 nucleotides) under uncultured bacterium. Its description in RNAcentral is "partial 16S ribosomal RNA". It matches the Rfam family "Bacterial small subunit ribosomal RNA", at positions 28 to 507 of the family's 1533-position model. The record is from RNAcentral.